This 467-nucleotide ribosomal RNA is filed under the name uncultured bacterium. RNAcentral describes it as "bacterial SSU rRNA". It matches the Rfam family "Bacterial small subunit ribosomal RNA", at positions 355 to 825 of the family's 1533-position model. The record is from RNAcentral.
UCGGGAAUAUUGGACAAUGGGUGAGAGCCUGAUCCAGCCAUGCCGCGUGCAGGAAGAAGGCGUUAUGCGUUGUAAACUGCUUUUUGCCAGGGGAUAAAAAGACCGUGCGCGGUUAAUUGAAGGUACCUGGUGAAUAAGCCACGGCUAACUACGUGCCAGCAGCCGCGGUAAUACGUAGGUGGCAAGCGUUGUCCGGAUUUAUUGGGUUUAAAGGGUGCGUAGGUGGCCCUGUAAGUCAGUGGUGAAAUAUCUCAGCUUAACUGAGAGGGUGCCAUUGAUACUGCAGGGCUUGAGUACAGAUGAGGUAGGCGGAAUUGACGGUGUAGCGGUGAAAUGCAUAGAUAUCGUCAAGAACACCGAUAGCGAAGGCAGCUUACCAAGCUGUAACUGACACUGAGGCACGAAAGCGUGGGGAGCAAACAGGAUUAGAUACCCAAGUAGUCCCUGAGCGGGCUGGCAAGGCGCAU